GUUUGUUUGGAAUGAAAUCCACUCAGAUUUAAUUUGUCAAAAUAUUUGCAUUCAUUCCUGUUUUCAUUCAUCAAAAUAGGCAUUUAACCUGUUCCUUUUAAUUCUCCUAGUUGCUGACCUUGUUUCAGAGCAGUGCCUGGGGAGAUGGGAUGUGUCCUAUGUCCUUCAGGAGCACUGAGGCUGAAAAGGCACUUUUGGGAACUUGCUCUUUCCUGGGUCUGCACAUGAGGGAGGACUCUUUGGCACAGGGAGUGACUGAAUUUUUCCUAGCUCCAAGCCAUAGCUUUGAAUCUUCCAGUGUGCAAGAUGCAGAUUGUUGUCCUGUGGCUGAAUCCCACCGAGGUAUCCUAAAGCUGGCAGCUCACAGCUUCAGGGAAGAGGAAUGAACACCUUGCUUCAGUUGUCCAGGGAAGAAUGGAAAGAGGGGCCAACCCCCCAGCUGCAUCAGAGUGGCUGCUGAUCCUUCUGCCAUGCUGGGAAAGGGGUUUUUCUAUUGGCCAUGCUGGGCUGCAGACUGGGACAAGCCUUUAGUCGAAUGUGUCAGCCAGGUUAAGACAGAUUAAGUGACUCUUUGAGCAAUUCCAGCCCAGUUCAAUGAGGAAAAAAACAAACCUAUUUGCCUUCAGCAUCACCACCUUCACAGACAUCCAUGGGGACUUCACAAACCACUCGAGUGGGUGUACUUGAAAUAGUUUCUGUUGCAAUGAUCCUAAAGAAAGAAAAGGACAAUCCUGAUGGAUGAAGGGAAAUGGUUAAGCAGAACGGCUGCAGUCUGGCAAAGGGAGUUGCCUGCCUGGCCAAGACCCUCUCUUUUGUUUCUUUGCUUUUUUUUAGGCUUUGCAAAGUGUCCCUGUAGAGAAGAAUUGGGGAAUAAAAUUCCUAAAGUUCC
Long non-coding RNA from Pipra filicauda (Wire-tailed manakin), 889 nucleotides. RefSeq lists it as uncharacterized. The transcript has 2 exons. Lineage: Eukaryota; Metazoa; Chordata; Aves; Passeriformes; Pipridae. The record is from RefSeq and is a predicted model, not a curated record.